AGAGUUUGAUCCUGGCUCAGAACGAACGUUGGCGGCGUGGAUUAGGCAUGCAAGUCGAACGAGAAAGGUUCCUUCGGGAGCCGAGUACAGUGGCGAAAGGGUGAGUAAUGCAUAGAUAACCUGCCCUCGAGAUGGGAAUAACCUCGGGAAACUGGGGCUAAUACCCAAUAAGACCACGUGCCGCAAGGCAAGUGGUCAAAGAUAGCUUCGGCCUUCGCUUGAGGAGGGGUCUAUGUCCUAUUAGCUUGUUGGUGGGGUAACGGCCCACCAAGGCAUCGAUGGGUAGCCGACCUGAGAGGGUGGCCGGCCACACUGGGACUGAGACACUGCCCAGACUCCUACGGGAGGCUGCAGUCGAGAAUCUUCCGCAAUGCGCGAAAGCGUGACGGAGCGACGCCGCGUGGAGGAUGAAGGCCUUCGGGUUGUAAACUCCUGUCACCUGGGAAGAAAGGCAGGUAGUUAAUAGCUGUCCUGCUUGACGUUACCAGGAGAGGAAGCACCGGCUAAAUACGUGCCAGCAGCCGCGGUAAUACGUAUGGUGCAAACGUUGUUCGGAAUCACUGGGCUUAAAGAGCACGUAGGCGGUUAAGAAAGUCUGAUGUGAAAUCCCUCGGCUCAACUGAGGAACUGCAUCAGAAACUUCUUGGCUAGAGUGCAGGAGGGGAGAGUGGAAUUCCUGGUGGAGCGGUGAAAUGCGUAGAUAUCAGGAGGAACGCCAGUGGCGAAAGCGACUCUCUGGUCUGUAACUGACGCUAAGGUGCGAAAGCUAGGGGAGCGAACGGGAUUAGAUACCCCGGUAGUCCUAGCCCUAAACGAUGAGCACUUGGUCGAGGGUACUUCCAUAUUUUCCCUGCCGCAGCAAAAGUGUUAAGUGCCCCGCCUGGGGAGUAUGGUCGCAAGGCUGAAACUCAAAGGAAUUGACGGGGGCUCACACAAGCGGUGGAGGAUGUGGCUUAAUUCGAGUCUACGCGAAGAACCUUAUCCUGGUCUUGACAUGUUUAGGAAUCUCUGUGAAAGCAGAGAGUGCCUUCGGGAGCCUUUACACAGGUGCUGCAUGGCUGUCGUCAGCUCGUGUCGUGAGAUGUCGGGUUAAGUCCCUUAACGAGCGAAACCCUUGUCCUUAGUUGCCAGCGAGUAAUGUCGGGGACUCUAGGGAGACUGCCGGUGUUAAACCGGAGGAAGGUGGGGAUGACGUCAAGUCCUCAUGGCCUUUAUGAUCAGGGCUGCACACGUCCUACAAUGCGGCGUACAAAGGGAAGCGAACUCGCGAGAGCAAGCAAAUCCCAAAAAGCGCCGCCCAGUUCGGAUUGCAGGCUGCAACUCGCCUGCAUGAAGCCGGAAUCGCUAGUAAUCGCGGGUCAGCAUACCGCGGUGAAUGUGUUCCUGAGCCUUGUACACACCGCCCGUCAAGCCACGAAAGUGGGGUGCGCCCGAAGUCGCUGUAGCAACUAGCAAUAGAGCAAAGCGCCGAAGGUGAACUCCGCGAUUGGGACUAAGUCGUAACAAGGUAACC
This 1513-nucleotide ribosomal RNA is filed under the name uncultured prokaryote. Its description in RNAcentral is "partial 16S ribosomal RNA". It matches the Rfam family "Bacterial small subunit ribosomal RNA". The record is from RNAcentral.